Molecule: non-coding RNA, 26 nt
Filed under: Rattus norvegicus (Norway rat)
Lineage: Eukaryota; Metazoa; Chordata; Mammalia; Rodentia; Muridae
Source: RNAcentral
UGGGGACGAUGAUACAUUGUAGUGGU